This 452-nucleotide ribosomal RNA is filed under the name uncultured bacterium. RNAcentral's name for it is "bacterial SSU rRNA". It matches the Rfam family "Bacterial small subunit ribosomal RNA", at positions 335 to 783 of the family's 1533-position model. The record is from RNAcentral.
ACUCCUACGGGAGGCAGCAGUAGGGAAUUUUCCGCAAUGGACGAAAGUCUGACGGAGCAAUGCCGCGUGAGUGAUGAAGGUUUUCGAAUUGUAAAGCUCUGUUGUAAGGGAAGAAUAGCAAGAAUAGGAAAUGAUUCUUGUCUGACGGUACUACAGAAGCACGGCUAACUACGUGCCAGCAGCCGCGGUAAUACGUAGGUGGCAAGCGUUAUCCGGAAUUAUUGGGCGUAAAGCGCAUGUAGGCGGCUUUUUAAGUCUGAUGUGAAAGCCAGUGGCUCAACCACUGAAUUGCAUUGGAUACUGGAAAGCUAGAAUCUUGGAGAGGUAAGUGGAAUUUCAUGUGUAGCGGUGGAAUGCGUAGAUAUAUGAAGGAACACCAAUGGCGAAGGCAGCUUACUGGACAAAGUAUUGACGCUGAGAUGCGAAAGUGUGGGUAGCAAACAGGAUUAGAU